GACAAACGCUGGCGGCGUGCUUAACACAUGCAAGUCGAACGAGAUGGCCCAGUGAAAGUUGCGUGCUUGCACAAGACUGGAUCUGGAUCACCAUCUAGUGGCAGACGGGUGAGUAACACGUGGGUGACCUACCCUUUCGUUGGGGAUAACAGUUGGAAAGGAAGAUUAAUACCGCAUAAUAUUGUGGUUUCGCAUGAAACAACAAUUAAAGAUUUAUCGCUAUAAGAUGGACCCGCGGCGCAUUAGCUAGUUGGUGGGGUAACGGCCUACCAAGGCGACGAUGCGUAGCCGACCUGAGAGGGUGAUCGGCCACAUUGGGACUGAGACACGGCCCAGACUCCUACGGGAGGCAGCAGUGGGGAAUAUUGCACAAUGGGGGAAACCCUGAUGCAGCAACGCCGCGUGAGUGAUGACGGUCUUCGGAUUGUAAAAGCUCUGUCUUUAGGGACGAUAAUGACGGUACCUAAGGAGGAAGCCACGGCUAACUACGUGCUAG
Molecule: ribosomal RNA, 496 nt
Filed under: uncultured bacterium
Lineage: Bacteria
Description: bacterial SSU rRNA
Rfam family: Bacterial small subunit ribosomal RNA
Source: RNAcentral